CAGUCGACGAACUCUUCGGAGUUAGUGGCGGACGGGUGAGUAACACGUGGGAACGUGCCUUUAGGUUCGGAAUAACUCAGGGAAACUUGUGCUAAUACCGAAUGUGCCCUUCGGGGGAAAGAUUUAUCGCCUUUAGAGCGGCCCGCGUCUGAUUAGCUAGUUGGUGAGGUAAAGGCUCACCAAGGCGACGAUCAGUAGCUGGUCUGAGAGGAUGAUCAGCCACAUUGGGACUGAGACACGGCCCAAACUCCUACGGGAGGCAGCAGUGGGGAAUCUUGCGCAAUGGGCGAAAGCCUGACGCAGCCAUGCCGCGUGAAUGAUGAAGGUCUUAGGAUUGUAAAAUUCUUUCACCGGGGACGAUAAUGACGGUACCCGGAGAAGAAGCCCCGGCUAACUUCGUGCCAGCAGCCGCGGUAAUACGAAGGGGGCUAGCGUUGCUCGGAAUUACUGGGCGUAAAGGGAGCGUAGGCGGACAUUUAAGUCAGGGGUGAAAUCCCGGGGCUCAACCUCGGAAUUGCCUUUGAUACUGGGUGUCUUGAGUAUGAGAGAGGUGUGUGGAACUCCGAGUGUAGAGGUGAAAUUCGUAGAUAUUCGGAAGAACACCAGUGGCGAAGGCGACACACUGGCUCAUUACUGACGCUGAGGCUCGAAAGCGUGGGGAGCAAACAGGAUUAGAUACCCUGGUAGUCCACGCCGUAAACGAUGAUUG
Molecule: ribosomal RNA, 709 nt
Filed under: uncultured bacterium
Lineage: Bacteria
Description: bacterial SSU rRNA
Rfam family: Bacterial small subunit ribosomal RNA
Source: RNAcentral